Molecule: ribosomal RNA, 468 nt
Filed under: uncultured bacterium
Lineage: Bacteria
Description: partial 16S ribosomal RNA
Rfam family: Bacterial small subunit ribosomal RNA
Source: RNAcentral
GACGAACGCUGGCGGCGUGCUUAACACAUGCAAGUCGAACGGAAAGGCCCUGCUUUUGUGGGGUGCUCGAGUGGCGAACGGGUGAGCAACACGUGAGUAACCUGCCCUUGACUUUGGGAUAACUUCAGGAAACUGGGGCUAAUACCGGAUAGGAGCUCCUGCUGCAUGGUGGGGGUUGGAAAGUUUCGGCGGUUGGGGAUGGACUCGCGGCUUAUCAGCUUGUUGGUGGGGUAGUGGCUUACCAAGGCUUUGACGGGUAGCCGGCCUGAGAGGGUGACCGGCCACAUUGGGACUGAGAUACGCCCCAGACUCCUACGGGAGGCAGCAGUGGGGAAUAUUGCACAAUGGGCGGAAGCCUGAUGCAGCAACGCCGCGUGCGGGAUGACGGCCUUCGGGUUGUAAACCGCUUUCGCCUGUGACGAAGCGUGAGUGACGGUAAUGGGUAAAGAAGCACCGGCUAACUACGUG